CCUACGGGAGGCAGCAGUGGGGAAUAUUGCACAAUGGGGGAAACCCUGAUGCAGCGACGCCGCGUGAGUGAAGAAGUAUUUCGGUACGUAAAGCUCUAUCAGCAGGGAAGAAAAUGACGGUACCUGACUAAGAAGCCCCGGCUAACUACGUGCCAGCAGCCGCGGUAAUACGUAGGGGGCAAGCGUUAUCCGGAUUUACUGGGUGUAAAGGGAGCGUAGACGGCUAAUCAAGUCAGAAGUGAAAACCCAGGGCUCAACCUUGGGACUGCUUUUGAAACUGAGUAGCUAGAGUGCAGGAGAGGUAAGCGGAAUUCCUAGUGUAGCGGUGAAAUGCGUAGAUAUUAGGAGGAACACCAGUGGCGAAGGCGGCUUACUGGACUGUAACUGACGUUGAGGCUCGAAAGCGUGGGGAGCAAACAGGAUUAGAUACCCCAGUAGUC
This 440-nucleotide ribosomal RNA is filed under the name uncultured bacterium. RNAcentral's name for it is "partial 16S ribosomal RNA". It matches the Rfam family "Bacterial small subunit ribosomal RNA", at positions 338 to 795 of the family's 1533-position model. The record is from RNAcentral.